Molecule: unclassified non-coding RNA, 300 nt
Organism: Gorilla gorilla gorilla (western lowland gorilla)
Lineage: Eukaryota; Metazoa; Chordata; Mammalia; Primates; Hominidae
Rfam family: Metazoan signal recognition particle RNA
About the family: The signal recognition particle (SRP) is a universally conserved ribonucleoprotein. It is involved in the co-translational targeting of proteins to membranes.
Source: Ensembl
CAUGGGGCAUGGUGGUAUGCACCUGUAGUCCCAGCUACUCAGGAGUCUAAGGCUGGAAGAUUGCUUGAGCCCAGGAGUUCUGGGCUGUAGUGCACUAGGUUGAUUUGGUGUCUGCACUAAGUUCAGCAUCAAUACGGUGAGCUCCUGGGAGCAUGGGACCACCAGGUUGCCUAAGGAGGGGUGAACCAUCCCAGGUUGGAAACGGAGCGGGUCAAAACUCCUGUGCUGAUCAGUAGUGGGAUCACACCUGUGAACAGCCACUGCACUCCAUCCUGGGCAACAUAGCAAGACCCUAUCUCU